UUUUUACUAAUACACUCUACCAAAUGACCCCUUAAUGUACUGAUGAUGGGGAUAAAACUAAUGCAGUUUCAUUUGACAGCUAAGGCAUCUUUACGUCAAUGUAACUCCAGCAAAUGAAUAUUAUUUCAUGUUAAUUUAAUAUGUGCACACAUCCAAGUGUUACUGCACACAUCCAAGUGUUACAAUCAAGGAUUGUGAACAGAGGAAACCGUGAUCGUGCACCCUACUACCAGACUAACACAGAAUUAAAUUUGCUCAACCAAGGGGUAAUUCCUCAUUAAUCAAUAUCUGUCCAUCGCGCUUAAUAAAUGUUGCAAGUGUCUAAAGUGAAAUGAA
Molecule: long non-coding RNA, 336 nt
Filed under: Solanum tuberosum (potato)
Lineage: Eukaryota; Viridiplantae; Streptophyta; Magnoliopsida; Solanales; Solanaceae
Description: long non-coding RNA (STUB_LNC008201)
Source: RNAcentral